This 442-nucleotide long non-coding RNA is filed under the name Mus spicilegus (steppe mouse). Its description in RNAcentral is "lncRNA (ENSMSIG00000030758.1)". The record is from RNAcentral. Lineage: Eukaryota; Metazoa; Chordata; Mammalia; Rodentia; Muridae.
GUAGCUACAGGAUACCUGGUGCUUAGGCCCCUUAAGGACUCCACUCCUGAGCAAGGUCAUAAAUUCUAGCACUUUACAUACCGAAGCUUAGGAAGACAGAAUAUCAGAUCAAGAUUCUCUCUCUAGCAGAGAUUGGAGAUUCCUGAGUGAGAAGAGGCCAUAGGAUACUUUGAAGGCUGAAUUGAUCCAUUAGCCUGUGGUGCUACAAGCCUGGGCCGCAAUAAUGCUGUAUCCCUCCAGAGGCCUGGCGUGAAAUCAAAUAGGAGCAAUGAGAAUAAAUACGUGUGCCUGAGUCAAAGAAGAAAGGAAGCCACUUCCAGCCUGGCUAAGGAGAAAGAAGCAAGAGUACAGGGAAAAUGGGGACCAGGUCUACCUUUUGCCAGGAGGUAGACUUAUUUAUCUGGUUUGUACAACCUGAUGGUUUUUUGUGUUGCCAUAAUAG